CAGUCGCCGCUGUAAUACGUAGGUGGCAAGCGUUGUCCGGAAUUAUUGGGCGUAAAGGGCUCGCAGGCGGUUUCUUAAGUCUGAUGUGGAAGCCCCCGGCUCAACCGGGGGGGGUCAUUGGAAACUGGGAAACUUGAGUGCAGAAGAGGAGAGUGGAAUUCCACGUGUAGCGGUGAAAUGCGUAGAGAUGUGGAGGAACACCAGUGGCGAAGGCGACUCUCUGGUCUGUAACUGACGCUGAGGAGCGAAAGCGUGGGGAGCGAACAGGAUUAGAUACCCGCGUAGUCCCUGUCUCUUAUAC
RNAcentral lists this ribosomal RNA (301 nucleotides) under uncultured bacterium. Its description in RNAcentral is "partial 16S ribosomal RNA". It matches the Rfam family "Bacterial small subunit ribosomal RNA", at positions 509 to 807 of the family's 1533-position model. The record is from RNAcentral.